GUGGUUAAGACACCGCCCUUUCACGGCGGUAACACGGGUUCGAAUCCCGUACGGGUCA
Molecule: transfer RNA, 58 nt
Filed under: Bacillus anthracis (anthrax bacterium)
Lineage: Bacteria; Bacillati; Bacillota; Bacilli; Caryophanales; Bacillaceae
Also listed under: 1 other name
Description: tRNA-Ser
Rfam family: tRNA
About the family: Transfer RNA (tRNA) molecules are approximately 80 nucleotides in length. Their secondary structure includes four short double-helical elements and three loops (D, anti-codon, and T loops). Further hydrogen bonds mediate the characteristic L-shaped molecular structure. tRNAs have two regions of fundamental functional importance: the anti-codon, which is responsible for specific mRNA codon recognition, and the 3' end, to which the tRNAs corresponding amino acid is attached (by aminoacyl-tRNA synthetases). tRNAs cope with the degeneracy of the genetic code in two manners: having more than one tRNA (with a specific anti-codon) for a particular amino acid; and 'wobble' base-pairing, i.e. permitting non-standard base-pairing at the 3rd anti-codon position.
Source: RNAcentral